AAUUAUUGUUUAUUUUUGACGGUCUUUAUUUUCAGCUUACCACUAUUCCUCUUCUUCUCUUAUCAACGACCCUGUUUCUCUUUUUUUCUUCCGUCAAAUUUGGGAUCACCUGCUCCUCUUCUUUCCUUGGCUCCGGCUCUUAGUUUUGGAUUCCACUACUCAUUCUUCAUAUUCAAAAUCUCAGUUUACUCUUCAAUUUCAAGAUUCAUCUCAUUCUUCAGCUCCAAAAUCAACUUAGUCUUGUUAGAUUUCAAAAUUUUUUUAUUCAAACUUCUUAUACUAUACGUAUUAAGGUCAAACAAUUUUAUCAAUGGCUUCCAAAUUGCUAUUAAAGAAACAAAGUCAACCAACUGAGACAAGUAUUUUUUUAUUAUUGCUUAUUUAUGUGAAUUGUAAUUGUUAAGGUCAUUUAUAGUCUUCUAGAAUGCAUUUUUCUUGUUUAUUAUUGUUUGGUAAUGCUGAAUAUUCUAUAAUUUGCUAUGUUUUCUAUGUAUGACUCUGUAUUAAGUGACAUAUUCAUGCUUACUUUGGAGGAGUCAAUGUUAAUUCUCACUUCUCUCUUUGCCUGUCAAGUAAUUUUUUACGGCUGAAUCCACAUCUAACUAUAAUUAUUCUGAGGUAUACACUUUCGUCGCUCUCAAUAUUUAGGAUUAGAAUAUCUUUCAUGACUUGUUUAAAUAGUGUUCUAUAACAAAUAGACUUCUACUUGUGCUUCUGCUAUGCAUUCUCUCUUUUCUGCUCUGCCUCUUUGCCUCUGCUAUUUUUGUGAUAAAAUUUGUGAUCAAAAACAAAAAGGUAAUCAAGAUAUAUAUAAACACACACAUCACUGUAUGUAAUAACAAACUUAGAAGUACCUUGGUGUGCGUUUGGCAAAUACGGCGCACUGUUACAUUACAAAGGCAUAUCAUUUUGUCCAUGGGAUAUAUCACUUCCUCAGUAGUAUAGGUGUUAGCACGCUCAGUUGUUCCCUUUAGCUUUGUUGAAAGUUUAUCAAUUUUCUAAUUAAGGUCACAGUCACAAGUAGCUAAAUUCAGAUAAAAUUUGAUACAUCAAAUUAAAGUACACAUUUACCAAGUAGUAAAAAAUAAUUUCCAUUCACGAAUAGGAAAGAAUAAAAAUUCUGAUCUUUGUAACUCUCCUUGAUUAGGAAAUAUACCUCUUGCACUAAAGCUGGAUUGGUUUCGUAUAGCUGCAGCAGAUCCUUCAUAUACACUCUUUUUUAUUAAUAAACACACGUUACUCUUUCCAGUAAUAACUAGAUCAUACAUUAGUUACCAAAUUUUAAUGCUAACAAUUUCUUAUGUACAUUUGGGAUAUUAAUUACUUGUCUAUUUAUUUAUGGUCAUAUAUUUUGGUCCUUUAGAAAAAAUAAAAAACAAAAGAAAUUAAAGACAGUGACUAUAAUGUUGUUUAAUUAAGCCUUAGAAAUUAACCGACUAUAUCUCCCUAAAACCAGCAAAAACCAAGGACUAAAUUCAUGUUACA
Molecule: long non-coding RNA, 1485 nt
Organism: Arachis duranensis
Lineage: Eukaryota; Viridiplantae; Streptophyta; Magnoliopsida; Fabales; Fabaceae
Exons: 3
Source: RefSeq, a predicted model, not a curated record